GUGUGCACCAUGGCCUGGACUCCUCUCCUCCUCGUGCUCCUCUCUCACUGCACAGGUUCCCUCUCCCAGGCUGUGCUGACUCAGCCACCCUCCCUCUCUGCAUCUCUGGGAGCCACAGCCAGACUCACCUGCACCUUCAGCAGUGGCUUCAGUGUUGGCAGCUAUACCAUGUACUGGUACCAGCAGAAGCCAGGGAGCCCUCCCCAUUAUCUGCUGUAUUACUAUUCAGACUCAAGCAAGCACCAGGGUUCCGGAGUCCCCAGCCGCUUCUCUGGAUCCAAAGACACCUCAGCCAAUGCAGGGCUCCUGCUCAUCUCUGGGCUGCAGCCUGAGGACGAGGCCGACUAUUACUGUGCGAUCUGGCACAGCUGUGGAGGCAGAGUCAACAUGGACAGCGCUGCUCCCAGGAAAGGGAGAGGAGGAGGGGUGGAGCAGGAAGAGCUCUGA
Phyllostomus discolor (pale spear-nosed bat) is the source of this 447-nucleotide non-coding RNA. The record is from the annotation of a RefSeq genome assembly. NCBI's taxonomy places the organism in Eukaryota, Metazoa, Chordata, Mammalia, Chiroptera, Phyllostomidae.